CUAAGUUUGAUGGCGACCGGCGCACGGGUGAGUAACACGUAUCCAACCUGCCGAUGACUCGGGGAUAGCCUUUCGAAAGAAAGAUUAAUACCCGAUGGCAUAGUUCUUCCGCAUGGUGGAACUAUUAAAGAAUUUCGGUCAUCGAUGGGGAUGCGUUCCAUUAGGUUGUUGGCGGGGUAACGGCCCACCAAGCCUUCGAUGGAUAGGGGUUCUGAGAGGAAGGUCCCCCACAUUGGAACUGAGACACGGUCCAAACUCCUAGGGGAGGCAGCAUG
This 275-nucleotide ribosomal RNA is filed under the name uncultured bacterium. RNAcentral's name for it is "partial 16S ribosomal RNA". It matches the Rfam family "Bacterial small subunit ribosomal RNA", at positions 79 to 353 of the family's 1533-position model. The record is from RNAcentral.